GAUGAACGCUAGCGGCAGGCUUAAUACAUGCAAGUCGUACGGGAUCCGAGGUAGCAAUACUUUGGUGAGAGUGGCGCACGGGUGCGUAACACGUAUGCAACCUACCUUUAACCGGGACACAACCUUGAGAAAUUGAGGCUAAUAUCCCAUAACACUGCGAGAUGGCAUCAUUUUGCAGUUAAAACUCCGGUGGUUAUUGAUGGGCAUGCGCGACAUUAGCUAGUUGGUGAGGUAACGGCCCACCAAGGCUACGAUGUCUAGGGGUUCUGAGAGGAUUAUCCCCCANACUGGUACUGAGACACGGACCAGACUCCUACGGGAGCAGCAGUAAGGAAUAUUGGUCAAAUGGGCGCAAGCCUGAACCAGCCAUGCCGCGUGAAGGAUGACGGCCCUAUGGGUUGUAAACUUCUUUUGUACGGGAAAAAACCACCGGUCGUGUAUCGGUGCUGAUGGUACCGUAAGAAUAAGCAUCGGCUAACUCCGUGCCAGCAGCCG
RNAcentral lists this ribosomal RNA (495 nucleotides) under uncultured bacterium. RNAcentral's name for it is "bacterial SSU rRNA". It matches the Rfam family "Bacterial small subunit ribosomal RNA", at positions 28 to 517 of the family's 1533-position model. The record is from RNAcentral.